Molecule: long non-coding RNA, 1061 nt
Filed under: Nicotiana benthamiana
Lineage: Eukaryota; Viridiplantae; Streptophyta; Magnoliopsida; Solanales; Solanaceae
Description: long non-coding RNA (NBEN_LNC026228)
Source: RNAcentral
CGUGAUCUCCCUCAAGUUUCUGUACUGAAAGAGCCAAGAAAUACAAAUUAUAAACAACAACCACCUAAUGGGAUCACUAACGACACAUCAGACAGAAUCUUCGCAAGGUAAAGUCUUAAUACACUUCUGUUAAUUCAACAAUCACUAACCAUAGAAAAAUUAGCUCACAACGAAGACACGGCACAGUUAACACACAUCAGAUAGAAUCUUCGCAAGGUAAAGUCUUAAUACACUUCUGUUAAUUCAACAAUCACUAACCACAGAAAAAUUAGCUCACAACAAAGACACGGCACAGUUAACGGAGAAAGUUCUGGAGCAGUAUCAGGAUCAAAUUCAAAGAUAGCCUAUUGAUAUCAAUCAGCGUGAAAAUUGGAUGUUUGAAAAUGAAUUGAAUGCACACAACUGGAUUCUCAAGAGUUGGUAUAUGAAAUGAAGACAAAUAGACAAUCCACAACUAAUGCACCAGCUGUUGUGAAAGCUAAAUUACCAGCUGAUGCUUCGGGCAAUCUGUUAUAGAAAAAGGUCUUGUGAUUGUUGGUGUUCCGACAGGCCCUGAUGUUGGACAAAACUCUAAGGAAGUUGGGCAUCAAAAAACAGUAAUUGAUUGUUCCAGUAAUUGAUUGUUCCAUUGCUGAUCCACAAUCAACCCUGUUGAACCCACCAGUAGUUGAUCUAGGGGAAAAUUUUGAUCAGCUAAUAAUCUGUCUAUUCUGAAUGUAGUUAGAUGCUUUAUUGUCUGAAGUAUUUUCUGCUUAUAAUAGGAUGUUUUUCUUUGUCAUUAUGGGCAAAAAUCUUGAACAGUGGAGCAAACAAGUUGCUGAGUACUAAAUUAUUUCCUUUGUGAUGAUUGCAGUUUCAUGCUAUGCUGAAGGAACUGAUUCACAAGGCAAUUAGUGAGACUGCGGCAAGUUCCCUUCUUUUUCUAAUUACUGUUCCGAGCUUAUGAUACAUAAUUGCUGUGAACGUCUCAUUAUAAUACUCCAUUAUUUUGGUGUGUUAAAGGGUCCAACAACUGGACACGUGCUUCUAUGUGCAGGAGCUAAAGCAGUAUCCAUCCCUAC